RNAcentral lists this unclassified non-coding RNA (337 nucleotides) under soil metagenome. RNAcentral describes it as "partial contains 5.8S ribosomal RNA, internal transcribed spacer 2, and large subunit ribosomal RNA". The stretch from base 1 to 120 matches the Rfam family "5.8S ribosomal RNA", at positions 35 to 154 of the family's 154-position model. The record is from RNAcentral.
GAUGAAGAACGCAGCGAAAUGCGAUAAGUAGUGUGAAUUGCAGAAUUCAGUGAAUCAUCGAAUCUUUGAACGCACAUUGCGCCCCUUGGUAUUCCAUGGGGCAUGCCUGUUCGAGCGUCAUUUGUACCUUCAAGCUCUGCUUGGUGUUGGGUGUUUGUCUCGCCUCUGCGUGUAGACUCGCCUCAAAACAAUUUGCAGCCGGCGUAUUGAUUUCGGAGCGCAGUACAUCUCGCGCUUUGCACUCAUAACGACGACGUCCAAAAGUACAUUUUUACACUCUUGACCUCGGAUCAGGUAGGGAUACCCGCUGAACUUAAGCAUAUCAAUAAGCGGAGGA